Molecule: non-coding RNA, 5926 nt
Organism: Triticum urartu
Lineage: Eukaryota; Viridiplantae; Streptophyta; Magnoliopsida; Poales; Poaceae
Source: RefSeq, a predicted model, not a curated record
ACGCGGAGUGGGGGAAAAAAUUGAUAUAUGCCCAUAUACUGGCCUGACAUAUGGGACCUGGUGAACGGAAGUUUCGACGUCGUCGGCGGAGAGAGCCCCGAGCCGUGGCUCGAGAUGUCGCCAGAGUCCUGAUCCGUGGCCCAGAUCACCGGGUUCCGGUAGCACCGUCAGAGUACGCAGUAAAUGCGUUUAGGUUGGCCGCUUGGUGCUUGGGCAGAUAAGUCGGGUUAGGUAUUCUUCCCAGGCGGCGGGACGGCGGCGAAAUCUACUGCGCCGACGGUGGCUGCGCUAUCCAGGAAGCUCGGAAGUUCACCGGCGGGCAUGGAGUUCCUGAUGCAACCUAUAAACAGAACACUGCUAGAGGAGGUGAACGAAAAUAACAGCAAUAUGGAGCCGAUGCGGUUCCCGGUGAGCGCGCCGACAGAGGUUCAGCUGCCAGCCCAGGCAGCUUCAAGUGCGGACGGCCAGAACUGCCCUGAAGACGCCGCUGCAGAGGCAAGAAGUGCAAGCAAGGCUCAGUGUUCAGAGCAAUUGAUAGAACAGUUGGACCCAAAAACCCCAGGCUGGACACAAAGAGUGUGUGUGGGUGCUGCUGCUCCAGGCAGGGCUCCUCGUGCAGACAGGGUGACAGCGUUCGAAAAGACCGUUCGGCAAUUUGCAGAGGAUCCAGGGGACAUUGUCAUAGUUCCAAAAGAUAGGAAAAAGUUUCGACAGUUUUGGUGAAGCCUACGACUUUUAAAAUUAUAUUCGUGAGAGAAAGGAUUUGGCAUUAGAUAUGGAAAGAGCAGGCUGAAUGUGAACUGGACGAAGUGCAUGCAAGAGAUAGUGUGUGGAUGUGCGGGGAAGCCAAUCGUUGAAAAUACACGGUCUUGUCGCUGUCAAUGUCCGGCACUCAUAAGACUGUUGUGCUCCAAGGAUAAUGGGUGGUACAUAGCUGAGCAUCAGGAUAUGCACAACCAUGCAUUGUCGCACACGUAUGGACAGACACUGUGUUGGUCAUCACACAAACAUAUUGAUCAGUACAGUAGGAACCUUGUGAAGCAGCUAAGUCAAAAUAAUGUCAAUCUUGCCAAGGUGUACAGCAUUAUCAGUAGCUUAUUUAGGAAGAUGGAGAAUGUACCUUUCACGAAGAGAGCUUUGCGGGAAUCUGUGCAGAAAGAUAAGCCGUGGUCAGUCCGAGGAUGAUGUGAGGAAAACAAUGGAAGUAUUUCAGAGCUGUGUGCAAAGGACCCGCAGUUCACAUAUCGAGUUCAAGCUGACAAUGAGGGCAGAAUCAGCACUCUGAUGUGGGCUACUGGCAACAGCCGGCUGCAAUACAGUUUCUUUGGUGAUGUUGUUACAUUUGAUACAACCUACCGGGCGAACCUCUAUGACAUGCCUUUUGGUUUAUUUGAGGGGGUGAACAAUCACUUUCAGAGCAUUAUCCUUGCGGGAGUGUUGGUUCAAAGUGAGACAGUUGAAACAUUUGAGUUAUUAGGAUAAUGGGUGGCAAUGCACCACAAACAAUCCUGACAGGGUUAUGGAGGUUGCCAUAAAGAAUGUGAUGCCUGGCAAGCUCACCGAUGGUGCAAGUGGCAUGUGCGAAAGAAGGCAAAAGAGUCACUUGGUCUGUUGUACUAAAAAAAUAGUGAUUUCCGUCCAGAGUACCACAAGGUUGUUAAUCACAUGUUAACCAUAGAUGAGUUUGAGGAAGGCUGGAAGUACCUCAUAGAGAAAUACAACCUGAAGAGCCACGAUUAUAUGACAAAUUUGUACGAGAUAAGGCCCAAGUGUGUGAAGCCAUACUUCAAGGGAGUCUUCUGUGCAAAGAUGAGUAGUACGCAACGGAAUGAAAGUGCUAACUACAUGCUGAAGAACUAUGUGCCUCCUGGAAGCCCAAUGCAUAUCUUUGUCAGGAAGUAUAUGAGCUUAAUAUUUGACCGGGAAGCAGAAGAGAAUUAUGAGGAGAAGCGGACAACAAUAGGGAGGCCACUAAUGCGAGCAAAUUUGGCUACCGAGAGGCAUGCUGGGAAAAUAUACACUGGGGCUAUGUUCGAGCAAUUCGGACAUAUAUUGUAUGAGUGUGGUGCAUAUCAGGUGGAGGAGAUCGAUAAAGGUAAAAACUGUGUUGCAAUACAUAAAGAUGCAGCACGGAGAGAAAAGUGGUGUAAAACUUCAUACAAAGUAACAAUUAUGGAAGGAGGUGAUGAAUUUGUCUGUCAGUGUGGGCAGUUUGCACACAUGGGGCUGCUGUGCAGCCACAUCCUAAAGGUGUUGGAGGGUGGCGAGUGUGUACAAAUGGGGGUUGCGUCCAACCACAUGGAGUAGCUCACAACCAUUCAAAGGUGUGAGAGUCCUAAUGGCAGAUUCAGAAGGGUCUGAGGCUGCAUCUUCCUUGACCGGGACUAAAGAAUGCUCAGAGGCGUGCUAUGGUCUGAAUCAGGUACGUUGCCUGUGCUGAUUCCUCACUGAAUGCACGUCUUCCUCGCCAUAUUGAGGCAAAAAAUUGCUGUUCAUUGCAGGAAAAUUGCAAGAGGCUGUGUUGGAUCCCCAACUAUAAAGAGGAUGGACGAGGAGAAGUGCUGGAGAAGAUUGGGACCUGCCAACCGUGGGGCCAUAAAUGAGCACAACGGCUCAGUUGGAACAUAAUGUACUACGAUGGAACGGUCCAAUCCGUCAUCCUCCGUCUGAUCCGUCACGUUGCUAACUCACUGAGUGAACUGAGCAGUGGGCCAGGUCCUAUUUCGCUGAAAAGCAGGCAGGAGCAUAUACCUGAUACUAUACAGACUGCAGCACACAUCGCAAGAUAUAUAAAUGGUCCUGAUUCCGAGACCCUGUGAGCUCGGGCUCACAUAAGCAUUUUCGCGUUGCAUGCUACUUUUGUUUGGAAACUUGAGUAGAGAAAGCUUAGUAGAGGGUCGAUGUUGCAUCAGUAAAAUUAUAAUCAGGAGCAUGUUGAUUAAAUAUUUCAACCCUGGUGGAUUAACCAGUUUGUGAAUUGUAGAUUAUUUUGUUGCUGCAAAACAUGUGCAUAAUACUAAAUCUGUAUGUAUAUAUAUAUUUGAACAUCAUAACUUCUAAUAGUAGACAUUGUAAUUUGUAAGGCCGAUAUUUACACAUUUUAAUUAGUUUUUCAAUAUGGAAGUUUAUUUAUGGAUUAUGUUUUAAGUUUAUAUUUGAAGAAGAUAGUUUUUUCAUCAUGCUAAUACUUUUUAACAUAUUUAAUCAAGCAGAAGUGUUGAAAUUUAUUUUUUACAUGAGUAUAUUCUAAUUGAUUUGCAGUACUGAACGUAUCGGCAUUAUAUAUCAAUGUUUGAGAAGUAGGAAUUGCAAAAACGAAUUUAAGAGGGCGUACAUUUACUGGUUUUCUAAGUAUGAACUUACUAGUUGAGUUUGUAGACCAAGAUUUUUUGUAGAUAUAUAUCUAAAAACAUUAUAACUGAGCACUUUUCAGGCGCUCCCAGGACCCUAUCAGACCAUCAACAUUUUCAGCCGUUUGAUCUGGACUUGUGAGCAUUUUUGGUCAUUGGAUCAACCUCUGAUCACUGCAGUUUCCGCAAGUUGGCUCGGGCAGCUGCUCCCGUAACAAAACUGCAAUUCUGUGGUGAAUUGGGCCAACAUGGGCCUUUUGAAUGCUUCCUCGGGUGCGAUGAGGAAGAGCCGCUUCAGUCCCCCGCAUCUCUCUCCUUUCACGCGAAUCACAAGUUCAUGACCGCUGCGACCGCGUUCGCCCUAGGUCUCCUCGCCGCCAUGACGGUUUCCCCAUGUCCGAGGCUUCACUCAUAGACAUCUCCCUCCCGUCCGCCUCCUCCUCAUCCGAUCCGUCGCAUCACUGGGAAGAUUCUAUUUGGGACCGCAGUGUCAACGUACCAGGUGCGCAUGAAUAUCGAUGCCGGGAGGCCGAGGGCCUUCAUACAAAUUCCAGAUACUACUAUGUCGGUGGAGAUGAGAAGGCAGUGCAAGACGCAUCCCUAGAAGCUCCUUUUCAGCGGAUGCGGCGGCGAGAAGCGUCCAUAUUUCCGUGUCCACCUCCUUCCUCUGGUGGGUGCCUUAGGUGUCUUCUCUGCCCUGCCAAAGCCCAGAUCUGGCCGUGGUUGCCACUGGUCUUCCUUUUGAGAGACGAGACUGGAAGAGGUUGAUUCAUGCAAUAAGAAUCUUCCAAAGGCUCCGAGGUUAAUUUUUGUUAUGCGAUCUCUUAUGUGGUUAUGACUGAAUUUUCACAACAGUUACUUUUGUAAUUCAUGAUGUCAAGGUUUCCCCCAUAGCGAUGAAGAAAAACUUAACAAUCAGCAUUAAUCAAUGUUCUACCUGCACUUGCAUACUUACCAUCUUUGAUUGUCUGAACGAUAAGAUGAAAACUGUGUGAUGGGGCACAAUCAAGAUACCAUCUCUUGUGCAUUUUCUUUAGCGUAUUAGCAUAUAAAACCUCUUACGUCACGACGAACUCUAAAACAAUGAAUUGCGGCCCUGCUCUGUUACGAUUGCGUCGCCUGACCAUGGCCUCGGAUUGCAUCGGCGACUGCGCUAGGUUUGCACGGACGAGGCGUACAGCGCCUCUGUGGACCGUUCGGCCGCACGGACAUCAUUUGGUUGCACGGACGCUAGCGGCACAGCCGGAUGGGGCACAUACGCGAGCAGCACGGCCGGAUGGGGUGUGGCGGCCAACAGCCAUGAAGUUCAAUCGCAAACGAUGAUUGAUUGAGAGGUUAAUUGGCCAUUAAUGCCAAUUGAUGCUCCGGACAGGUCAGUUUCAUCGCCCAUUCAUAUUCAUGCCAAUUGAUUAAUUGAGAGGUUAAUCCUGCAUUCCAAAUGAUUAAUUGAGAGGUUAAUUGUGUCUCCAUAUAUUCAUGCGUGCCUAUAAAAUCCCAACCUUGCCGCUGCCCCUUUCCUACUCUGCUCAUUUUUGCAAACCAAUCUCCAGUACAAAAGCGAUGGGUGAUGCUUAGGUUCCACCUCUGUUUGGUUUCAAGGUGAUGUGCUGGUUCCAAUUCUCAGUUGUUCUCUACAUAUAUAUACUGAUAUGUUCUCUGUCUAAUUCUCAAUUUGAAAUGAUUACAGCUUCUCUCCAAGUAGGAAUUUUAGCUACGGACUGGUUGGUUUCUUUGGUUCUUUGAGCUGAUCCAAUGGCAAUUUUAGACGCCUGAUGUUAAGUCGGGCCCAGUGGGCUCUCUGUUGACUGUUGUAGCACUCUCCGUCUGGCAUUAAACCACGCCGCUCCUCCGUCCUUUCGUUAGCAAACCCUCUUGUGGCGUCCGAGGCAGGACGGGCACGGCGGCGCCCGUCCUGCGCCCCUGACCUCGAACAGCGGAGGCAACUGUGACUUGCCAGCUUGCCUUGUGUCCUGAUCAGUUCGUCUCAAUCGAUCUCCCUUCCUGUAACACAGGUGGUUGCCAUUGUUUGCUGGGGGUGUGCCGUGACCAUACAUGCCGGUUGACGUUGACGGCGUGCUUCCUUCCAGUAGCACUUCUCCUCAUAUUGAUCGCAUUUUGCUUGGGGUGCUCAUGCCUUUUGCCAUGCGCAGAGAUCAAAUCUGUUACAGGCACAUGCCAACAGAAAUAUCGUUAGCAAGACACGUAAGCAGGGGAUUAUGCAAAAGAAUAGUAAAACGUUUGUUGCAAGAAUUAUAUCCUGCUGAUGUGCUGCGUAUUAAAUUGUUUUUCUGCCUCUGAAAUAUUUCCUGCGUUAUUUCAGUCAAACACUCCCAAAGGAAAUUUAGGCUCAAUUGUAUUGUAUUGAGACACACAUAUUUCGUAGACUGUUAUAGCAAGAUUUAGAGAAAACAUUGGUGUGUCAAAUAUUCAUGAUAUUCCUUCAGUCAAUACUUACCCAUGUACAUGGCUCUGGUUUCCUAUAUAAAUAUCAAUAUUUGCCAUCACAUUUUGAUACACCAUAUCAGACUAAAAUGUAUCACCCGCAACAUUUCUGCCUUAGCAUGCAAAGUUAUAUG